UACGGGGGGGCAAGCGUUGUUCGGAAUUACUGGGCGUAAAGGGCUCGUAGGUGGCCAACUAAGUCAGACGUGAAAUCCCUCGGCUUAACCGGGGAACUGCGUCUGAUACUGGAUGGCUUGAGUUCGGGAGAGGGAUGCGGAAUUCCAGGUGUAGCGGUGAAAUGCGUAGAUAUCUGGAGGAACACCGGUGGCGAAGGCGGCAUCCUGGACCGACACUGACACUGAGGAGCGAAAGCCAGGGGAGCAAACGGG
Molecule: ribosomal RNA, 252 nt
Filed under: uncultured bacterium
Lineage: Bacteria
Description: partial 16S ribosomal RNA
Rfam family: Bacterial small subunit ribosomal RNA
Source: RNAcentral